This 357-nucleotide unclassified non-coding RNA is filed under the name fungal sp. RNAcentral describes it as "partial internal transcribed spacer region". The stretch from base 1 to 46 matches the Rfam family "Eukaryotic small subunit ribosomal RNA", at positions 1786 to 1831 of the family's 1831-position model. The record is from RNAcentral. Lineage: Eukaryota; Fungi.
AAGUCGUAACAAGGUCUCCGUAGGUGAACCUGCGGAGGGAUCAUUAACACAUCCACAAAAAUGUAAGCCGUAAAAAAGCUUAUAUUUUUAUCAACCAAAACGCGAACUUGGAAUGUGCACAAUGUGUACAUUCUGAUCUCUCCCUAUAAAUUGUAUGUAAUUUUAUUAUAUACCUUUUAUAGGCUUUUCUAUUAUGCAUAUAAUGCACUCACGUGCUUAUAUGUAUAAUAUGAUACACACCUAUUUCACCGCACUUAUAACCAAUUGACUAAUAAUCAUUUAUAUAGUAACCUAUGUAAAUGAGCGAUAUCAUACAAAUGUUAAGCACAACUCUUAGCAACGGAUAUCUUGGUUCUC